RNAcentral lists this ribosomal RNA (228 nucleotides) under uncultured bacterium. RNAcentral describes it as "partial 16S ribosomal RNA". It matches the Rfam family "Bacterial small subunit ribosomal RNA", at positions 568 to 795 of the family's 1533-position model. The record is from RNAcentral.
UGCGUAGGCGGAUUUAUAAGUCAGUGGUGAAAUCCUACAGCUUAACUGUAGAACUGCCAUUGAUACUGUAGAUCUUGAGUACGGUUGAGGUGGGCGGAAUGUGUCAUGUAGCGGUGAAAUGCUUAGAUAUGACACAGAACACCAAUUGCGAAGGCAGCUCGCUAAACCGUAACUGACGCUGAGGCACGAAAGCGUGGGUAGCGAACAGGAUUAGAUACCCUGGUAGUC